RNAcentral lists this unclassified non-coding RNA (418 nucleotides) under soil metagenome. RNAcentral's name for it is "partial contains 5.8S ribosomal RNA, internal transcribed spacer 2, and large subunit ribosomal RNA". The stretch from base 1 to 120 matches the Rfam family "5.8S ribosomal RNA", at positions 35 to 154 of the family's 154-position model. The record is from RNAcentral.
GAUGAAGAACGCAGCGAAAUGCGAUAAGUAAUGUGAAUUGCAGAAUUCAGUGAAUCAUCGAAUCUUUGAACGCAUCUUGCGCUCCUUGGUAUUCCUUGGAGCAUGCCUGUUUGAGUAUCAUGAGCAAAUCUCAAAGUCAAUUCCUUUUGUUGAUUCAAUUGGUUCUGCUUUGGACUUGGAGGCCUUGCAGAUUUCACAGUCUGCUCCUCUUAAAUGCAUUAGCUGGAUCUCAGUAAUUAUGCUUGGUUCCACUCGGCGUGAUAAGUAUCACUCGCUGAGGACACUGUUAAAAAGGUGGCCAGGAAAAUACUGAUUGAACCGCUUCUAACGGUCUAUUAAGUUAGACAAUUACCCUUAAGUUUGAUCUCAAAUCAGGUAGGACUACCCGCUGAACUUAAGCAUAUCAAUAAGCGGAGGA